RNAcentral lists this ribosomal RNA (468 nucleotides) under uncultured bacterium. Its description in RNAcentral is "partial 16S ribosomal RNA". It matches the Rfam family "Bacterial small subunit ribosomal RNA", at positions 28 to 507 of the family's 1533-position model. The record is from RNAcentral.
GACGAACGCUGGCGGCGUGCUUAACACAUGCAAGUCGAACGGAAAGGCCCUGCUUUUGUGGGGUGCUCGUUUGGCGAACGGGUGAGUAACACGUGUGUAACCUGCCCUUGACUUUGGGAUAACUUCAGGAAACUGGGGCUAAUACCGGAUAGGAGCUUCUGCUGCAUGGUGGGGGUUGGAAAGUUUCGGCGGUUGGGGCUGGACUCGAGGCUUAUCAGCUUGUUGGUGGGGUAGUGGCUUACCAAGGCUUUGACGGGUAGCCGGCCUGCGAGGGUGACCGGCCACAAUGGGACUACGAUACGGCCCAGACUGCAACGGGAGGCAGCAGUGGAGAAUAUUGCAGAAUGGGGGGAAGCCAGAUGCGGCAGUGCCGCGUGCGGGAUGACGGCCUUCGGGUGGUAAACCGCUUUCGCCGGAGACGAAGCGUGAUUGACGGUAAUGGGUAAAGAAGCACCGGCUAACUACGUG